RNAcentral lists this ribosomal RNA (439 nucleotides) under uncultured bacterium. Its description in RNAcentral is "partial 16S ribosomal RNA". It matches the Rfam family "Bacterial small subunit ribosomal RNA", at positions 338 to 795 of the family's 1533-position model. The record is from RNAcentral.
CCUAUGGGGGGCAGCAGUGAGGGAUAUUGGUCAAUGGGGGAAACCCUGAACCAGCAACGCCGCGUGAGGGAAGACGGUUUUCGGAUUGUAAACCUCUGUCCUCUGUGAAGAUAAUGACGGUAGCAGAGGAGGAAGCUCCGGCUAACUACGUGCCAGCAGCCGCGGUAAUACGUAGGGAGCAGGCGUUGUCCGGAUUUAUUGGGUUUAAAGGGUGCGCAGGCGGCCUGUUAAGUCAGCGGUAAAAUCCCGGGGCUCAACCCCGGCGAGCCGUUGAAACUGGCGGGCUGGAGUUGGAGAGAAGUACGCGGAAUGCGCGGUGUAGCGGUGAAAUGCUUAGAUAUCGCGCAGAACCCCGAUUGCGAAGGCAGCGUACCGGCUCCACACUGACGCUGAGGCACGAAAGCGUGGGUAUCGAACAGGAUUAGAUACCCUAGUAGUC